CGUAAUGGAGCGUACUCUGCAUGCAGCGAUGCCGCGUGAGUGAAGAAGGCCUUUGGGUUGUAAAGCUCUUUUGUAGGGGAAGAUAAUGACUGCACCCUCCCAAUGAGGUCCGGCUAACUUCGUGCCAGCAGCCGCGGUAAUACAGAG
RNAcentral lists this ribosomal RNA (147 nucleotides) under uncultured bacterium. RNAcentral describes it as "partial 16S ribosomal RNA". It matches the Rfam family "Bacterial small subunit ribosomal RNA", at positions 367 to 530 of the family's 1533-position model. The record is from RNAcentral.